This 458-nucleotide ribosomal RNA is filed under the name uncultured bacterium. RNAcentral describes it as "partial 16S ribosomal RNA". It matches the Rfam family "Bacterial small subunit ribosomal RNA", at positions 338 to 795 of the family's 1533-position model. The record is from RNAcentral.
CCUACGGGUGGCAGCAGUGAGGAAUAUUGGUCAAUGGGCGAGAGCCUGAACCAGCCAAGUCGCGUGAGGGAGUACUGCCCUAUGGGUUGUAAACCUCUUUUGUCGGGGAGCAAAAGCCGGACGUGUCCGGCUGUGAGAGUACCCGAAGAAAACGCAUCGGCUAACUCCGUGCCAGCAGCCGCGGUAAUACGGAGGAUGCGAGCGUUAGUCGGAUUUAUUGGGUUUAAAGGGUGCGCAGGCGGAUUUGUAAGUCAGCGGUAAAAUCGUGGGGCUCAACCCCAUCCAGCCGUUGAAACUGGGGAUCUAGAGUGUGCGAGAGGUAUGCGGAAUGCGUGGUGUAGCGGUGAAAUGCAUAGAUAUCACGCAGAACCCCGAUUGCGAAGGCAGCAUACCGGUGCACAACUGACGCUCAGGCACGAAAGCGUGGGUAUCGAACAGGAUUAGAUACCCUUGUAGUC